This 323-nucleotide long non-coding RNA is filed under the name Chinchilla lanigera (long-tailed chinchilla). Its description in RNAcentral is "lncRNA (ENSCLAG00000023365.1)". Lineage: Eukaryota; Metazoa; Chordata; Mammalia; Rodentia; Chinchillidae. The record is from RNAcentral.
UCAGAAUUCUGUAAUUAGCUAAACUGUCAUGAAGAAUAACAGAAGGAAACAAAAAUAAGCAAAAGCCGUGGGGAAAUGUACCACUUUGGUGAAAUAAUUCCCAAAGGAUUAACUUCUACAUGGAAGAAAUGAACAGUUAAAAAGGACAAAAAUGCCAAAAAACUCAUUUUCUUUCUUUUAUCUUCCCUUUAAUCCCAUUUGUGAGCCUCCAGGUUUGCAGUGUGUUGCUGGGCACAACCAGGACAGUGUCUGUGCAAGACAGCAGGCUGACAAGGGGCGCAGGAGCUUGAAGACGCAUCCUCAGUGGGGAAGAGUGGUGUGAC